GAUGAACGCUGGCGGCGUGCCUAAUACAUGCAAGUCGAGCGAACAGACGAGGAGCUUGCUCCUCUGACGUUAGCGGCGGACGGGUGAGUAACACGUGGAUAACCUACCUAUAAGACUGGGAUAACUUCGGGAAACCGGAGCUAAUACCGGAUAAUAUAUUUAACCGCAUGGUUCAAUAGUGAAAGACGGUUUUGCUGUCACUUAUAGAUGGAUCCGCGCCGCAUUAGCUAGUUGGUAAGGUAACGGCUUACCAAGGCAACGAUGCGUAGCCGACCUGAGAGGUUGAUCGGCCACACUGGAACUGAGACACGGUCCAGACUCCUACGGGAGGCAGCAGUAGGGAAUCUUCCGCAAUGGGCGAAAGCCUGACGGAGCAACGCCGCGUGAGUGAUGAAGGUCUUCGGAUCGUAAAACUCUGUUAUUAGGGAAGAACAAAUGUGUAAGUAACUAUGCACGUCUUGACGGUACCUAAUCAGAAAGCCACGGCUAACUACGUG
RNAcentral lists this ribosomal RNA (497 nucleotides) under uncultured bacterium. RNAcentral describes it as "partial 16S ribosomal RNA". It matches the Rfam family "Bacterial small subunit ribosomal RNA", at positions 28 to 507 of the family's 1533-position model. The record is from RNAcentral.